AUUAAUAUACAAUAAUUCUGCCUUUGUACAGUAUCUUGUCUCCGUUGAUUUUGUCGUAUCUGUUCCAUUAUUGCUCUGUUAUCUGCUCCAUUAUUGCUCUUUUAUCUUAUCUUUCCAGCUGGCAUUUUGUCUUCUUUAUUCUAGAUGUACCUCUGGAAUAAUAUUAUCUUCUCCAUUGCACCUCGAACAUUGGUGGUCUGGAUAUUUAUGUCCAAUUAUUUUACAGUAUCUUGUUAGUAGUCCUUCUGAAAUAAAUCCCUUUUUUAUUGCUCUCGCGGUAGAUUGUUUUUCUGGGUUAAGUAGCGUCAUUAUCCAUUGUCUUACGUCUUCCAUAUCUGCUUGUCGUAGCUCUUUUGAAUUUGAAUAUAUCAUUUGAUGAUCUCUUNNNN
Molecule: long non-coding RNA, 389 nt
Filed under: Capsicum annuum
Lineage: Eukaryota; Viridiplantae; Streptophyta; Magnoliopsida; Solanales; Solanaceae
Description: long non-coding RNA (CANN_LNC010127)
Source: RNAcentral